GGCCUUUGAUGGAUACAAAUUUGUCCGUACCAUCUGAAGAUUUUCUUAAUCUUUUGAUGUAUCAUACAUAUUAAUUCUGAGGCCU
Mercurialis annua (annual mercury) is the source of this 85-nucleotide small nucleolar RNA. RefSeq annotates it as small nucleolar RNA snoR117. Lineage: Eukaryota; Viridiplantae; Streptophyta; Magnoliopsida; Malpighiales; Euphorbiaceae. The record is from RefSeq and is a predicted model, not a curated record. The transcript has a single exon.